GGGUUAAUGACUGAGCCCGGUUUAUAGUGAUGGAUUGUAAAUCCAUUGGGUAAUCCCAUCGUAGGUUCGAAUCCUACUUAACCCA
RNAcentral lists this transfer RNA (85 nucleotides) under Trentepohlia odorata. RNAcentral's name for it is "tRNA-Tyr". It matches the Rfam family "tRNA". From Rfam's summary of the family: Transfer RNA (tRNA) molecules are approximately 80 nucleotides in length. Their secondary structure includes four short double-helical elements and three loops (D, anti-codon, and T loops). Further hydrogen bonds mediate the characteristic L-shaped molecular structure. tRNAs have two regions of fundamental functional importance: the anti-codon, which is responsible for specific mRNA codon recognition, and the 3' end, to which the tRNAs corresponding amino acid is attached (by aminoacyl-tRNA synthetases). tRNAs cope with the degeneracy of the genetic code in two manners: having more than one tRNA (with a specific anti-codon) for a particular amino acid; and 'wobble' base-pairing, i.e. permitting non-standard base-pairing at the 3rd anti-codon position. Lineage: Eukaryota; Viridiplantae; Chlorophyta; Ulvophyceae; Trentepohliales; Trentepohliaceae. The record is from RNAcentral.